CCUACGGGUGGCAGCAGUAGGGAAUCUUCCACAAUGGGCGAAAGCCUGAUGGAGCAACGCCGCGUGGGUGAAGAAGGUCUUCGGAUCGUAAAACCCUGUUGUUAGAGAAGAAAGUGCGUGAAAGUAACUGUUCACGUUUCGACGGUAUCUAACCAGAAAGCCACGGCUAACUACGUGCCAGCAGCCGCGGUAAUACGUAGGUGGCAAGCUUUAUCCGGCUUUAUUUGGCGUAAAGGGAACGCAGGCGGUCUUUUAAGUCUGAUGUGAAAGCCUUCGGCUUAACCGGAGUAGUGCAUUGGAAACUGGGAGACUUGAGUGCAGAAGAGGAGAGUGGAACUCCAUGUGUAGCGGUGAAAUGCGUAGAUAUAUGGAAGAACACCAGUGGCGAAAGCGGCUCUCUGAUCUGUAACUGACGCUGAGGUUCGAAAGCGUGGGUAGCAAACAGGAUUAGAGACCCGUGUAGUC
RNAcentral lists this ribosomal RNA (465 nucleotides) under uncultured bacterium. RNAcentral describes it as "partial 16S ribosomal RNA". It matches the Rfam family "Bacterial small subunit ribosomal RNA", at positions 338 to 795 of the family's 1533-position model. The record is from RNAcentral.